RNAcentral lists this ribosomal RNA (468 nucleotides) under uncultured bacterium. RNAcentral describes it as "partial 16S ribosomal RNA". It matches the Rfam family "Bacterial small subunit ribosomal RNA", at positions 28 to 507 of the family's 1533-position model. The record is from RNAcentral.
GACGAACGCUGGCGGCGUGCUUAACACAUGCAAGUCGAACGGAAAGGCCCUGCUUUUGUGGGGUGCUCGAGUGGCGAACGGGUGAGUAACCCGUGAGUAACCUGCCCUUGACUUUGGGAUAACUUCAGGAAACUGGGGCUAAUACCGGAUAGGAGCUCCUGCUGCAUGGUGGGGGUUGGAAAGUUUCGGCGGUUGGGGAUGGACUCGCGGCUUAUCAGCUUGUUGGUGGGGUAGUGGCUUACCACGGCUUUGACGUGUAGCCGGCCUGAGAGGGUGACCAGCGACAUUGGGACUGAGGGAGGGCCCAGACUCCAACGGGAGGCAACGGAGGGGAGUAUUGCACAGUGGGCGGAAGCCUGAUGCAGCGACGUCGCGUGCGGGAUGACGUCCUUCGGGUUGUAAACCGCUUUCGCCUGAGACGAAGCGUGAGUGACGGUAAUGGAUAAAGAAGCACCGGCUAACUACGUG